UCCGGUUUGUCACCGGCAGUCACCUUAGAGUGCCCAACUGAAUGCUGGCAACUAAGAUUAAGGGUUGCGCUCGUUGCGGGACUUAACCCAACAUCUCACGACACGAGCUGACGACAACCAUGCACCACCUGUCUCCAUUGCCUCGAAAGGAAGCCAUAUCUCUACAGCGGUCAAUGGGAUGUCAAGACCUGGUAAGGUUCUUCGCGUUGCUUCGAAUUAAACCACAUGCUCCACUGCUUGUGCGGGCCCCCGUCAAUUCCUUUGAGUUUCAGUCUUGCGACCGUACUCCCCAGGCGGAGUGCUUAUUGCGUUAGCUGCGGCACUAAGGGCAUCGAAGCCCCUAACACCUAGCACUCAUCGUUUACGGCGUGGACUAC
This 377-nucleotide unclassified non-coding RNA is filed under the name uncultured Caryophanales bacterium. RNAcentral's name for it is "uncultured Bacillales bacterium contains 16S-23S intergenic spacer region". Lineage: Bacteria; Bacillati; Bacillota; Bacilli; Caryophanales. The record is from RNAcentral.